AGCGGCAGGCUUAACACAUGCAAGUCGAGGGGCAGCGGGGAGGAAGCUUGCUUUCUCCGCCGGCGACCGGCGCACGGGUGAGUAACACGUAUGCAACCUGCCCCUGUCAGGGGGACAACCCGCCGAAAGGCGGGCUAAACCCGCGUACAUGCCACCGGGGCAUCCCGGAGGCAGGAAAGGCUUCGGCCGGACAGGGAUGGGCAUGCGGCGCAUUAGGCAGUAGGCGGGGUAACGGCCCACCUAACCGACGAUGCGUAGGGGUUCUGAGAGGAAGGUCCCCCACACUGGUACUGAGACACGGACCAGACUCCUACGGGAGGCAGCAGUGAGGAAUAUUGGUCAAUGGUCGGGAGACUGAACCAGCCAAGCCGCGUGAGGGAGGAAGGUACAGAGUAUCGUAAACCUCUUUUGUCAGGGAACAAAGGCGGGGACGUGUCCCCGGAUGAGUGUACCUGAAGAAAAAGCAUCGGCUAACUCCGUGCCAGCAGCCGCGGUAAUACGGAGGAUGCGAGCGUUAUCCGGAUUUAUUGGGUUUAAAGGGUGCGCAGGCGGUCUGUUAAGUCAGCGGUCAAAGCCCGGGGCUCAACCCCGGCCCGCCGUUGAAACUGGCAGUCUCGAGUUGGAGAGAAGUAUGCGGAAUGCGCGGUGUAGCGGUGAAAUGCAUAGAUAUCGCGCAGAACUCCGAUUGCGAAGGCAGCAUGCCGGCUCCACACUGACGCUGAGGCACGAAAGCGUGGGUAUCGAACAGGAUUAGAUACCCUGGUAGUCCACGCAGUAAACGAUGAAUGCUGGCUGUCCGGGGGGACUGACCCCUGGGUGGCGAAGCGAAAGCGAUAAGCAUUCCACCUGGGGAGUACGCCGGCAACGGUGAAACUCAAAGGAAUUGACGGGGGCCCGCACAAGCGGAGGAACAUGUGGUUUAAUUCGAUGAUACGCGAGGAACCUUACCCGGGCUCAAACGGGGAGUGGCGCAGGCAGAGACGCCUGUUUCCCACGGGACACUCCCCGAGGUGCUGCAUGGUUGUCGUCAGCUCGUGCCGUGAGGUGUCGGCUUAAGUGCCAUAACGAGCGCAACCCCCGCGUGCAGUUGCUAACAGUCAACGCUGAGGACUCUGCACGGACUGCCGGCGCAAGCCGCGAGGAAGGCGGGGAUGACGUCAAAUCAGCACGGCCCUUACGUCCGGGGCGACACACGUGUUACAAUGGGUGGUACAGCGGGAAGCCAGGCGGCGACGCCGAGCGGAACCCGAAAUCCACUCUCAGUUCGGAUCGGAGUCUGCAACCCGACUCCGUGAAGCUGGAUUCGCUAGUAAUCGCGCAUCAGCCAUGGCGCGGUGAAUACGUUCCCGGGCCU
Molecule: ribosomal RNA, 1354 nt
Filed under: uncultured bacterium
Lineage: Bacteria
Description: bacterial SSU rRNA
Rfam family: Bacterial small subunit ribosomal RNA
Source: RNAcentral